RNAcentral lists this ribosomal RNA (482 nucleotides) under uncultured bacterium. Its description in RNAcentral is "partial 16S ribosomal RNA". It matches the Rfam family "Bacterial small subunit ribosomal RNA", at positions 28 to 507 of the family's 1533-position model. The record is from RNAcentral.
GAUGAACGCUAGCGGCAGGCCUAAUACAUGCCAGUCGAACGAGAUUAAGAGGCUUGCUUCUUAUGAAAGUGGCGCACGGGUGCGUAACGCGUAUGCAACCUACCUUAAUCAGGGGGAUAGCCCGAAGAAAUUCGGAUUAAGACCGCAUAAAAACACAGGAUAGCAUUAUCCAAUGUUCAAAUAUUUAUAGGUUUAAGAUGGGCAUGCGUGUCAUUAGCUAGUUGGCGGGGUAACGGCCCACCAAGGCGACGAUGACUAGGGGAUCUGAGAGGAUGACCCCCCACACUGGUACUGAGACCCGGACCAGACUCCUACGGGAGGCAGCAGUAAGGAAUAUUGGUCGAUGGAGGGAACUCUGAACCAGCCAUGCCGCGUGCAGGAAGACAGCCCUCUGGGUCGUAAACUGCUUUUAUUCGAGAAUAAACCUUUCUACGUGUAGGAAGCUGAAUGUACCGAAGGAAUAAGGAUCGGCUAACUCCGUG